RNAcentral lists this ribosomal RNA (356 nucleotides) under uncultured Selenomonas sp. Its description in RNAcentral is "bacterial SSU rRNA". It matches the Rfam family "Bacterial small subunit ribosomal RNA", at positions 440 to 794 of the family's 1533-position model. The record is from RNAcentral. Lineage: Bacteria; Bacillati; Bacillota; Negativicutes; Selenomonadales; Selenomonadaceae.
UGGGGAAUAUUGGGGGCAAUGGGGGAGUAAGAGGACGGUACCUUUCGAGGAAGCCACGGCUAACUACGUGCCAGCAGCCGCGGUAAUACGUAGGUGGCGAGCGUUGUCCGGAAUUAUUGGGCGUAAAGGGAGCGCAGGUGGGACUUCAAGUCAGUCUUAAAAGUGCGGGGCUCAACCCCGUGAUGGGAUUGAAACUGUAGUUCUUGAGUGCAGGAGAGGAAAGCGGAAUUCCUAGUGUAGCGGUGAAAUGCGUAGAUAUUAGGAGGAACACCAGUGGCGAAGGCGGCUUUCUGGACUGUAACUGACACUGAGGCUCGAAAGCGUGGGGAGCGAACAGGAUUAGAUACCCUGGUAGU